UUCCUCGCGGUUUGAAGUGGUCUGGUAGUACGAGGCUCGGCAGUCAAUGGACAUCUUGCAACCGCGAUUUUGACAUAAACGAAGCGCUGUCUUUUUGCGCACCUUUCAAGCAGUAACCUGCGCCGUUUAUUAAAAGGGGGCCUCAGUUUUUGUCGUCCGCUGAACGUGGUUUUCUCGGCACAAAUCAAUUUCAAUAAAUUAGACGACAGGUGUAUACAUUGGAUAUGCAUUUUGCCAACUGGCAUUAUAUUUCAAACUAGGCAUUGGUUGUUAUAUGGGGAGAAGUCUAACAGAAGGCCUAUCAGACAGGUGCCAACUGGUUCUUCUAAAGGCAGGAAAAUCUUAGAGACUUGGCCAAAGUCAGGGUGUGAAAUGAGUAAACAUGACAUUGGGGCACUGUCUUUGUGCUGUGUGUGUAUGUGGAAGAAUAUGCAAAGUUGAAUGUACGCAAUAGCAGGAAGCGGUUUGGGAGGUGUGCCAAAGUGGGUGUUCCUAAAGUAGGCGUCUGACAGAUUUGAAAGCCUAAAACUAAGAAACGGCUUCGUUGUGGAAUAUGAAACGUUGCAAGCAGAUCCCCGGCAUGGCGGUGCACAACGUAUGCGGGCUGGAUUUUCGAUUGCUGCUUUUGAUUCCGUUUCGUUGCACGUUAGAGGCCGAAAACAUGCGAAAAAUAUUAUUCUAAAAUCGCAGAACGAAGCAAUCAAAAAUCGAACUCGCAGUUCUUUGUUGUAUCGCUAAUUUCUAUGUCUUGUGCAAAUUUGAAGUGCGUAGCGAGUUGCGUUACUUAGGAGUACAUUUUGAAUGCGCGCUUGGGGGAGCGUUUCAUAUUGCGCAUUGCUAUUGGUCAAUUUUCUAACUACCCGUAUGUGAAUGGUAACGACCCUACCUAUGUCCUUGCAGAUCACCGUUACUAUCCGUCUAUGGACAACGGUCCUUCAGCUCUUACAGGAUCUCAUGUAUUCAAAAUGGCGUAAGGGGGUGUUUCACUUUUUAAUUAAUUAAUUAAUUAAUUAAUUGGUUAUCGUAACUCUCUGUAAGUUAUGUUUAUAAACAUUGAACAGUUAGUUCUAGUUUGUAACUUGUCAUAACUGUUUUGCAGUCUUUGGGUCAAGAGUCCUACUAAACUAUAAAUUGUGCAUUUAUGUAUGUAUUGGUAGUAAUUUUAUUGUGAGAUUGACAAAUGGUAUCCUGCUUAUUUGAUGCACGUAUGGUUGGACCGUACAUGCACUAGAAAUUAGAAUUUGAGUUUUAAUUAAGAAAGGCUUGUUUUGUACCUUGUCUUGGACCAUGUGGGCGUUGCAGGCUGCUUUCGCCUUUUUGAAGGAAUCUGUGUCCUCAGAAACAUGUGCAGUGUCUUUGUGAACCUGUUUGGACUCUAGUCUCUGUUUCUUUCGUCUUGGUUCACCAAUAGAGUCUUCUUUCUCCUUACUAAUGUUGUCACAGUUUGGCUGGAAAACAGCAUCUCAAGUCAUACAUUCAUUUCUGGCUUGUGUUGCCACAACACUUAAUUAAAGAACUUCUUAACCAAUCCCAUGCUGUGCAAGGAAUGGGGAAUUGCGGGGAAACUCUUGGCAAACCUAUCAGGGAAGCUCCACAUCUAUUGCUUGCCAGCCAGCUCUCCUUCUUGUGAAGAUCAGUUCAUAAUGACGUAGAGAGUGGGUUCAUUCUGAAUACUCAAGGUAAUCUGUGGCAAUCAGUGGACAAUGAGACAAGGAAAAGAGUCAUGGUGUUGUCCUACAUGGACUUCAAGAGCUAGAUUAAACCUUAAUUUAUGUCUGAUUAUUCUUCUAUUUAUUCUUUUAUGUUUACUCUUCUAUGCAUGGCUACCUAUUUUUACUUGUUACGCUUAUGUAUCUUGUCUUGCCUAGGGCACUGUACCUGUAGCGGUAUGAAUCAAAAUAUUAUUAUUAUUAUUGUUAUUGUUAUUAUUGAAUGAAUGAAUGAUGAAUGAUAUAUUUGAUUAUAUUUGAUUAUUAUUAUGUUGUGCUCAACCAGAUCAGUCUGAUUCAUAAGGUCACUGGUAAACACCGAAAGCAACCCUGCCUCAGAGGUGCUUAGACCAUCAUGGCUGUCUAGACAGAAGACAUGACUUUACGCAGGAUCCGACUGGAUUCAAGAAGCACUGAGAGGUAAUUACAUUCACAGUGGGUGUAUACUAAGGGAAUUAUACAGGCAGGGAAUUAAUCAGGAACGAAUUAUUUGGAGAAAUACUGUACCUCAUCAAACAGUCUGCUUGUGCUCAUGUCUUGAACUUAAUAUACAUUGUGGUAUGUUAACGAAUUAAAUAAAUUCUCAUUUAAUUCAAUAGCUGUUGUCUACGUUUUGACUGCAUCAUGUGUAUAGAUGCUGAUCUGCAUCCUGUGAGAAAAGAAAUAGCGACUGCUGCUGUUGCACAUACACAAUGGAAGUUGUUUAUUACAAGUCACAUUAUAGAUCUGACC
Long non-coding RNA from Corticium candelabrum, 2441 nucleotides. RefSeq lists it as uncharacterized. Lineage: Eukaryota; Metazoa; Porifera; Homoscleromorpha; Homosclerophorida; Plakinidae. The record is from RefSeq and is a predicted model, not a curated record. The transcript is spliced from 5 exons.